AGGUACCACUCACACUCCGGUUGCUCCGCGCCGUCCGCACCCACCUGACGACUGCGCGCUACGGUUUGCUAGCC
RNAcentral lists this small RNA (74 nucleotides) under Xanthomonas arboricola. RNAcentral describes it as "sRNA sX9". It matches the Rfam family "Xanthomonas sRNA sX9". Lineage: Bacteria; Pseudomonadati; Pseudomonadota; Gammaproteobacteria; Lysobacterales; Lysobacteraceae. The record is from RNAcentral.